AGAUCCGCCUGGCUCUGCCUCCCGAGUGCUGGGAUUAAAGGCGUGCGCCACCACCGCCCGGCUGUCAUGAGGAUUUUGUAGCCAAUAAGAUUAAUCAUGUCUCAUCCAGUCUCAGAACACCAGCCUGCCUAAGAGACUGCAGGACUAGGAAGCCUCAUUCAGCUCCUUGUCCAGAACUUUUCUUAGGUUUCUCAGGCUCUAUGUUUGGAUAUUUGAGCCUCCACAUUGGACACCAUAUAUAAUCGAAUUUUCCUUUGGGCUGCCAACUCACAAAUAAUGACAUGGAGACUUAUUAUGAAAGCUCAGUCCAUAGCUUAGGCAUAUUCCUAACUAGCUCUUAUAGCUUAAAUUAACCCAUUUCUAUCCAUCUAUGUUUUACCAUGUGGCUUUUUACCUUUCUUUCAUUCUGUAUGUUUGACUCCUUCCAUGUCUCUUUGGCAUUCGAUUAUCUCCUUCUACUUCCUCUCUCUGCCUGGAAGUCCGGCUAUAACUCCUGCCUAGAGCUCUGUGUUAAACAUUUUGUUGUGGGAGAUGUUCUAUGGUGAUGUGUUGCUUUUAGAACAUAAUUUUACUUUAUAUUCCUUUUAGAUUGAUUUGCCUUAAAGUUCUGCUGAAUACACAUACACACAUAUAUACAUACACACAUACAUACACUAAUUUAUUUUUCAUCUUUCCCCUUUUUACUUAUUUUUUUUUAAUGUGCAUUGGUGUCUUGCCUGCAUGUAUGUCUGUGUGAGGGUGUCAGAUCUUAGAAUGACAGACAGUUGUGAGCUGCCAUAUUGGUGCUGGGAAUUGAACCAGGGUCCUUUAGACAAGCAGUCAGUGCUCUUAACCGCUGAGCCAUCUCUCCAGCCCUCUUUUCUCUUUUUAAAAAAAUUUAUUCAUUUAAUUAUUUUAAUGUGUAUGGGUGUAUGUCUGUGCACCACCUGUGUGCCUGGUGUCCUCACAGGCCAGAAGAGAGCAUUGGAUCCCCUGGAACUGGAGUUAUAGAUGCUUAUGAAGCACCAUGUGGGUGCUGGGAUCAGAAUCUGGGUCCUCUGGAAGAAGAGUCAAUGCUCUUAACCAUCGAACCAGCCUCUCCCUUUACUUUCCUAUCUCCUUCUGAAACACUAGUCAAAUCUGAAUCUGUUCUUAUUGUCCCUCUGGACAACUACGGAUCCACCUAGUAUUGAAAACACAUUUAGCACACCUACGAUCCUAGCUUAGCCAAUGAAAUGUGCUCAGAGCACUGAGGUCAGGCUCCAGCUGGGCAGCAUCACCCUACCAUGCAUCCUUCCAGGUUGCCACUGAAUGACUGAAUUAGCGUCCUAAGAUUUAUUUAUCAGUUCCGAGAGCCUUCGUUUGCAGCUGGGCUCCAAUUGCCACAGUUAAACAAAAGUAAUAUCUCCCAGUUGUCCAAAUACACUGGUGUUCUGUCAUUUCAACAUGGUCGUGACUGGCUGCUAAUAUUCCUAAAAUUGGUUCAGCUUCUUCUUCUACCCAAAUCACCUUAGUCAAACCUUAACCACAACCAACACCAGAUCCUACCAUUCUCCUGGGCAGAAACACUGGUGCCGCUUUUUAAUUAUUCUUGGUAAAAAUUGAAGCCAACGGGGCCCUCGGAAUGCCUUGACCACAGGCACUCACUCAUCCCAAGCCACACUGCUCCUGUAUCUUUCAGUUCCAUUUACCCUCUGGGGCCCUCAAGUUGGCAUGCACUUUCCUUUCUACCUCUGAGCUAAGAGCAAGCUGUUCUUUCAACCUCUCUAUCUUCUUCUCUAUAGAGGAGCCUAUCUCCAAAUAGCGACUCAUUCUGAGUUCAAAUCCCAGAAUCACCCUUGCUAGGCUGCUCUCUGGCCCGAGUAAGUCGCUCAACACGUCCCCGUGUCCAUCUACACCUUGAGGAUGGUUAAAAAGAGAAUUGUGAGAUUUUUAACUUGCAAACAGAUUGGGCAGCAGGUGGAAAAUGACUUAUCAUUUUAGCAAUACUCCUAUUUUACUCCGUUCAUCUACUGUUGGCCAUGUUCAAGUCCGUCAUCUUGAGUACACUGAUGGUAGCCCACCUCACCUCUCCCCCCAACCCCCAAAUCCUACUUCUGGAUGAUUAUUUUCCAUGAACACAGAAAAUGAACACGGAAAAAGGCUGGUCCUUCCAGGCUAGGGAGGGCCCUGGGAGUGAACUAGCUGAACAAGACUAGUUCUAAGUCGGAACACAUCGAGCACCGGCAUAGCUUUAGGAAAGGAAUGUUCUUGACCUGGAGCAACCUCGAAGAACUUGGGUUCACUCGGGAGACCACCAGAGGCCCCGCGAGGAGGACCAGGCUUAAGUACAGGGUCACCAGCAACAUGGCAAUGGGUGGAGGACCUGCCGCCGGCAGCCAGUGGCCCCGCGGUCCCGGCGAUGGACUGCCCUACCAUGCCCGCCCACAGUCUUUCUGAGGAUUGGCUGCUCUCUUUCCUGUCCUGCCCCCUCCGAAAGGCCCGCUGAUUGGCUGCGGCUUUCUGGCCAGCCCCGCCCCACUCCCCGGCGCUGGUAUCAGCGCAGAGUGCUGCAGCUCGGUCUUUCUGUCCCCGGCUCGGUGACCGACCUUCCGGAGCCGAUCCCCAGGGCUCAGUCGUGCGGCCUCCUCGGACCCAGGCGCAGGCUGAAAACUACAAGAAAGAAACCAGUGAGCAGAAUGCCUUGAAGCCGGCUCCAAGGGGGUAAUGCCUCCAAGGUGAAGUAGGCUGGCCCGUGUCCCGCCUUGGUAUUAGGGCGUGGUAACAGAUUCAUUCUCACUUUGUUGCUGAGAUAGGUGCUGAAGUCCCAUUUUACAGAUAGAGAAUGAGGGCCCUGUGAGAGGAUCCCUGAGUAGUCUUGUAGUAAUUGAUUGCACUGAAGGUAGUUUCCCCCAAAUUAUCAAUAUGUUAGGUGGUGGUUCGAUUGAUGUUUCUCUAUGCCUGGCUGCCCUAGAACUCAGAGUGUCCCACUUCUGCCAAGGUGCAACCAAAAGGGAGAUUUGCUAGAUCAUUAGAAUGUGUUGGUAUAGGGGGUGGUUCUUGUAUCCCCCUUGCAUGCUAGGACAAGUUCUUUGCUAGGGCCUAGUCAUGAGCCUGCAGUCAAGAUGUUAUUAGCCUGUAUAUUGCUGCAUAUCACUCAUUUUCCAGAAUCUUAAAUAAAAGCUUUUCCUGUGUCAAUCCCAUAAUGGUCUUUUUCUUUUUUUAACUAAUCAUAUGUGUUUGAGUCUUUGCACUGGAACACGUGGGUGUCAGGACAACUUGGGGUAGUCUGUUCUACUGUGUGGAUCCCUAGGAUCAAACUUGGGGUGUCAGUCAGGCUUGGUGCCGGGUACCUUUAGCUGUGGGGUUGUUUUGGCUUUUCCAAACAUAAUUUCUUAUAUAUUGAAUGAAAAGAAAUAAAAAGGAAAGGGUAUGACUGCUCCUAGGUACGUUAGAAGAGAAACUUAAGUAGAUAAAAGAGAAACCAUGGGUAGAGGCAGAGUCAUCUGUCUGAACCCAAAGGACAUAACCAGACUGAGGUGGGGGGAGAGGGGAACCAGGGAACCCGGUCCAGCACUCAAGAGGCCAAAGGGUGGGUAACAACUUGUGGAGGAAGGGCAGCCCAGCACCUGGGCUGGAGACUUCAGGUUAGAGGGUGGGGUAUGCCAACCAUACCCUGUAACAGGGACUGAGGGAUGCUGGGAGAACUUGGCAGUCAGGUCCUCUUUGAUGAGUAGGUACCUCAACCUUUUGUUGCAGGUUUGAAACUUGAACCCUUGAUUUCCAUUCUGCUGGGCAGGGUCUGUGUGUGUGAGACACCAGACAUGUACCAACACAUGCACCUUUUUACAUGUUUCCAGGGAUCUAACUUGUCAUUAGGCUGCAUGGCAGGCUCUUAUUUUUCAAGUAAGGUCUCGUAGAGGAAGCUGGCAUCAAGAUACAAUGUAUAAAAUUAUCAGUAACAGUUACAGUUUGUGUUUUAAAUACCAGUUGUUUCUGUUUUACACAAUAGCUUUAAUGUUAAAUAAAAGCACUUCUGUGACCCAACUAGAUAAAACUCAGCAGUUAGCUACAGUCAUACUGGCCACAUUGUCAAGUGCUCGGUAGCCACAUGUAAGAAUUUUACUGAAAACAAUAGACCAUUUUUGCCCUCUAUAUACAGGCUAUGUAGUUUUGACUGUCUCAGAAGCAAAAUUAGGUCAUUUGGUAGACUUUGUCUUUAACACCGGUUUGAACUGGAAUCCUGGGAAGCUCUGAAAACAGUUUUGAAAGCAGCAAGGCAGGCUGGAGAGCUGGCUCACCAGUUGAGACAACAAACGUGUUGCUGUUGCAGAGCGUCUGGGUUUGGUUCCCAUCAACCAUGUGGAGGCUCACAACCAACUCCAGUUCUAGUGGGUCUGGCACUUAGGACCUCUGGGUACCGGGCAAGCUCCAGACUCAAACUCUAAAAAUUAAAAAAAUAUACCCAAAGUACCUCAUGUGGGCUUUUGUGCUGUAAUUUCUGUGUUUAGGUUGCAAUGUUACAAACAGGAGGCCACACAAAGAGACAGGAAGGAAACAGGCAGAGACUUGUUGGUUUCUGAGUAUGUACUUGUUGAGUCCAUUUAAAUUAGAAAUUUAAGAUAUAUACAGAAUACAAAAUAGUCAAGUUAUAAAUUUUUACAGGGAUUGAGGAUAAAGGAAGAAAGCGAUUUUUAACUGCCCAACACUCCUCAUUCUCCUCCCUCCUCCUCUCUUUUUUCUCUUCUUUUUUUUUUUGAGACAGACUCUCUAGUCCUGGUUGACCUAGAACUCAAUGUAGACUAGGCUGGCCUCAAACUCAAGAGACUCGACUGCCUUGGAUUAAAAGCGUGCAACGGCACUCCUGGUGCUUCUAUUUCCUGCUGAUAAGACUCCAAAACAAGCCGAGCGGUGGUGGCACACACCUUUGCAGAUCUCGUGUGAGUUCAAGGCCAGCCUGGUCUACAGAGUGAGUUCCAGGACAGCCAAGGCUACACUGAGAAACCCUGUCUGUCUCUUAAAACUAAAAAUAGCCAGGUGGUGGUGGCUCACGCCUGUAAUCCCAGCACUCGGGAGGCAGAGGCAGGCGGAUCUCUGUGAGUUCAAGGCCAGCCUGGUCUACAGAGCUAGUCCAGGACAGGCUCCAAAACUACAGAGAAACCCUGUCUUGAAAAACCAAAAAAUAAAAAAUAAAUAAAUAGAUAAAUAAAAAAUAACCAAAAAUAAAAAGACUCCCAAAUGAAAAAAAAUUUUUUUUGGUUUCUUUUGGUUUUUGAGACAGGAUUUCUCUGGCCUUGAACUCAGAGAUCCACCUGCCCUCUGCCUGUCAAGUGCUGGGAUUAAAGGCGUGCACCGCCACCUCCCCACUACAAAAUUUCUCAUUGCAGUCUUAGUAUUUCUGCCUGUUAGGACCAGUCAUUCUUCCUUCAGAGACAUUUCCAUAGAGAAUCACGCUGGCCUCUAGCUUUGCGUUGACAGUUUACAGUUUGCAGGUGUCCGAGAGUUUGCACUCACCUUGAACAUUUGAGCCCUGUGUGCUCUCAGACUUAGUAGUUCUUCACCCAGAGCUGGCUUGCUGGGCCCUGGGUUAACAACUCCAUGUAUUACCACACUCCACUUUCAGAGGCUGCAUGAUUCACCCAUGAAGGCAGUGGAAGAUGUUUAGAGACGUUCAGCCUGUAUCACAUGCUGACAUUUCCCCAAGGCCAACGGGAACACCUCUGUACCCUGAAUGUAUACCCAAACUACAGGUUCUUGUUCAAUUUGCUUUGGCCUCGGCAAGAUCCACAAAGGUAACACUGAGAAGGUCUGCAGGAGUUUUGUGUGCAAGUUUUCUUUCAGAGUGAGUUAACUUUGCCGCUCCUUUUCUCAUAAUUGGCCGUUGGUACACCUCAGAUUUCUGGCCCCCAGUCACUUCAUGGAUUCUGUAGCUGACUGGAUGAGGUCUCUUCAGAUGUAACAGUUAUUGGAUAACUUAGCGCUGUCAGUGGAUCUCAGCCUCCCUAACACUAUGAACCUUAAAUACAGUUCCUCAUGCUGUGGUGACCCCCAACCACAAAAUUACUUUUGUUGCUACCUCAUAACUUAUGAUUUUGAUACUGUUAUGAAUCACAAUAUGAGUUUCUGAUAUGUGGCAUCCCCCCUCACACAUACAUACACAAAAGGGUCAAGACCCACAGGUUGAGAACUGAUGUUAGAUGAACCAAGUUACGACCAAUACCAGCAAUAGCUACUAUGGUUAAUUUCACAAGCUACUCAUGAAGUAUUAAAGAAGAAAAGUACAAAUUAUCUGUGGAGAAUUGAUGGUUUAGGCAUUAUACCACCUCAACCUUCAUUUUUUUCCACCUAUUAAGGGUAAAUUUAUGUUUCUCCAAUUGUUGAGGAAAUGGGGGUGAUAUUUGAAGUGCCACAUUAUGGCAGACAGCACCACACACCUCCACACAGAAUCUAAAGCAAAAAAAAUGUGUCCUGAAAACUGCCCGUGAGCUGUUUCAGUUAGUUUGAGCUGGUUGUGGUAGCUCACAACUUUAAUCUUUGCACCUGGGAGGCAGAGGCAGGAAGAUCUCUGAGUUUGAGGCCAGCCUGGUCUACAAGGCUAGUAGUAGUUCCAGGGCAGCUAGAGCUGUUACUUGAGAAACUCUGUCUCGGAAAAAAAAAGAAAAAGAAAACAAAAGAAGGAGCUAGUUUGAAGCUAACCGUUUUUCUAUGGGUACGGGGGUGGGGGUGGGGGGGGAAUCAAUAUGAUCAAUUUUCAAGUACCUAACAAAGUGGAUGCUGAUGUCUCCAGUCUGAAUAAUGCACUACCUGGGGCUGGGCAUCUAGAAUUCUUGUGCUUUGGAACCCACGCUGCAAAUACCACAUACAUUUAUUUGGAGUUGAAUGUAACACUGAAAAAGAGCAUUUUGUAAGCUCUGAACGUUUUACAUACUUUUCCAGGUCAAAGUCUGCAGAGUUAUUUUUAUUGUAUGAGGGAUUUCUCUGCACGUACUUCAUGCUUGCCCGAGGGCACUGGGUCUCCUGGAACCAGACAGUUGGAGGCUGCCAUGUGGGUGCUGAAACCAAACCGGCCACUACCCCACUUUCUCACCAGGAAUGCAUAAGCACUUCGAAACACUUUUCAUGUUUUAUGAACCUUCUCACUCAAGGUUUGCAAUAUUAAAUAUAAGAUAAUUUGAAGUUACUUGCUAAGUGAAGGAAUGUGAUCUGCGCUGAUAGUCCUUUACUGGAGGGGUCGCUUUGCCUUUGAGGGAGGGGAUAAGGACUGCGAUAAGUGUUUGCACGGGGGGAAAGGCACUUCAAACUAUAAAUGUCGCCUUAUCCCACUUAAGAAAAAAAAAAUCAUGAGCUAGAGAAUGAGUGGGAACAGCGGGAGCAGUUAACUCCCUUACCCAGGGUACCAAGCUCUGCCUCAGGCACUAAAGAAUACUCCAAUGGGACCAAAGAAGCUCCCUUUGCACGGCAGGGGUAGAUGGCAGUACCCGUAGGUCCCCUAGCUGGGAGCGGUUGGUUAACCCCAGUGACUCAAAGUGAAACACCCCGGGGACCUGACGAAAGCAGCUAGGUUCGCGGGACGCGAAAACACUGGUAGACACGUCUGCCAAUCACCGGUGGGUGGCUCUGCUUGCAUGUAAUAGGUUAAGCCCAAGCCCCAACUCCACCCCUUCUGCCUGAAUCCCCGCCUCGCCAGAGUUCGGGCCCUCUGCUGACAUCCGGAGAAGGAAAUAACCGUAGCCUGAGCUUGCUAUUGGAAUUCAGGGUACAGAGGCGUCCCGUUUCCCGGACCCGUUUCACGCCGAUCUGACGGGUCCUGUUGUCUCUUUCCUACCGUCGGCCUAACGUCCUGUGUCCCACCAUCACCCAGUCCCAAGCAGAUGGUGGUUUUACCUGUACUUGGAGGAAGAUGAGUCGCCUAGACCUUGUCAACCCAUUUCUUUUGAAGCCGUCUUAGCUCUACACUUACAUUUCCUUCUGUAUAGUUAUGCAAGAGGCAUUGAUCUCGCGGGCGGGAGGAAUAUGGCAAUUACAACUAAAUAUUAAAUCAUUAAAGUAGCACCCAAUCGACAGUUAUAAACAUUGUUCAAGAAAGAACUCGGAGACAGGAAGGCAAGUCCCAUCAUGCCUGCUGUCUCUCCAUCCACGGUAAUCUUUUCUUCCGGGUCGCGCUUGCUUUACAUCCAGCCAGGAUUACUCCUGCAAGCAGUUUGGUCAAGAUGUAAGAAUACUCAGCUCCUUCUCCAGCACCAUGUCUGCCUAAAUGCUGCUGUGUCCUCCCAGGACAAUAAUAGACUAAACCUCUGAACUGUAAGUGAACCACCCCAGUUGAAUGUUUUUCUUAGUAAGAAUAGCCACGGUGUAGGUGGAAGUUUCUGUCCCACCAGCAGCUCCCAAAUAAACACACUGAAGCUUAUAUUAAUUACAAAUGUUUGGACAAUAGCUCAGGCUUAUUACUAACUAGCUCUUAGAACUUAAAUUAACCCAUUUCUAUUAAUCUAUAUAUUGCCAUGUGGCUCAUGGCUUUACCUGUCCUCUAGCUUGUCUUGCUCCUUGUGUUUCCUGGUGACUCCACUGACUCCGCCCUUCUUCCUCCCAGCAUUCUGAGUUUGACUUUCCCAUCUAUACUUCCUGCCUGGCUACUGGCCAGUCGGUUUUUUUAUUAACCAAUGAGAGUAAUAUAUAUUCACAGUGUACAGAGGACACCAUGGCCAUGGUGUCUCUUCACGGUAGUAGAAACACUAAGAUACUCCUCAAGCUACUUUUGGUGAUGGCAUUUCAUCACAGCAAUUGAAACCCGGUUAAGAUUGUGAGAUAUGGAGGUGCCCACAUACCAUUUCUUUGUGUGGAUAGCCAACUGUUCUAGUAUGUUUCAUUUAAAAGAUCACAUCCUCACUUGGAGUUGCCACAAGACAACUGGUCAUGUCUAAAUGGACUAAUUUCCCAACUCUAUUCCAUUCUGUCAGUUGGACUGUGUAUCUUUGUAUCAAUACCAAAUGUCUCUACUACUAUUGCUCUUAUGACAAGCCUUGAUGGUCUAUCAGGAAAUUUGAUUAUAAGUUCAUUUAAAUGUCUUGUGCAAUCAUUGGAUACAUGGUAGACAGCAUAGACACAGUACAUUUCAAUUCUCACUGAAAACUUUUUGGAGUAGCCCUGCUCUGGAAGGCAUCUAGAGGUCAGUUUAGGGGCCGUUGUUUCAUAGCUGCAUGCUCAUGGGUUUAGUGUUGGGAUAUUCUUCAAAAUAUUUACCUAUGCAGGGGCUGGAGAGAUGGCUCAGCAGUUAAGAGCACCUGAUGCUCUUCCAGAGGACUCAGGUUUGGCUCAUAGAACCCACAUGGCGGCUCACAACCAUCUGUAACUCCAGUUCCAGGAGAUCCAACACCCUCUUCUGACUUCCAUGGGCACCACACAAGUGUGUAGUACUGUCGUGAUGUAUUGUGUCCCCCAAUAUACUGUGAACCAAUAAAAUUUACCUGAAGAUCAGAGGAAAAAGCCAACCACUAUAUAGAAAUCAGGCAACAGUAGCACACACCUUUAAUCCUAUCACUUGGCAGGCAGGGAUCUGUCUGGAUCUCUGUGAGUUCAAGGCCACACUGGAAACAGAGUCAGGUGUGGUGGUACAAGCCUUAAAUUCCAACACUAGUUAACCAUGGAGGUCUGGAGGUCUGUACAGACAGACAGGAAGUGACAGAGCUGGACAGGAAGAGGAAGUGAUGUAGCUGGACAGAGAGGGCAAAUCGGAUGGCAGAACAGGAAGGCAUAUGUGUAUGGGCAGACAGGAAGUCUUGUCUUUGGAAGCUGCGGAGUUGAUGAGGUGAGGUUAGCAUUUCCUUAUUUCUCUGAUUUCUCAGGUUUUCACCCCUAUAUCUGGCUCCGUGUUUUUUAUUUAAUAGGACCGUUUAGAAAUUCAUCUACAUACUACACAUAUAUACUUGUAGGCAAAACAGUCAUACCAUGAAAUAAAAUAAGCAAUUUUUAAAUAUCAAAAUAUUUAUGUUAAGCCUUUUUACAAGAAACUCAGAACACAGUUUCUUGGCAAGCAGAAGACUCUAGAACUGCACAGAUUGGAGGUGUGCCAUACCAACAUGGCUCCUGCCACAAACAGUACUAAUUCCACACGUCUCAUGUAGUCUGUGUAUGCCUGGAAGCAGUGUGUAUGCAUUACUUUACAGUUUUGGAGAGAUAAAUAAGAUACCAAGUUCUUUUGCACUUGUACUUUUAGAAAUGAAAAUAUAAAAUGGGUUUCUUUGAUCAGACAGGAUGAAAUACAUAGCUUCAAAUCAUAAAAAGUUUCCUGUUGAAAUACAGUGGCUACUAGGCAAGGGCUAACUGUUCAUUUUGUUCAAGUGGGAGACUGAAUAAUGGCGUGUAAAUAGGCCCACUCUCUAAUCCUGGAGCCUUAUACAGCAAAAAGGGCUUUGCAGAUACAGUUCCACUCAGGAGCUCGAGAUGGGACAAUUGUCUUGGGUCACCUGUAAGGAGGCUGAAAGAGAUCUGACCACAGGACAGAAGGGAAGAAGAUCUGACCACAGGACAGAAGGUAGCAUAAUGCAGUGAUAAAAAUGUGUCUGCGGGCACCAUGGGCUACGCUGCUGGCUUUGAAACCGGAAGAAGGCGACCCUAACCAAGAAAUGCAAAGACUGCAGCUUUUGACGCUGGCACAGGUAAAGAAACAUUGUCCCCUAGUGCCUCCAGGGGGUGUGGCCCAGUUGACACUUUGGUGUUGGCUCAGUGAAACUGAUUUCUGAUUCCUGGUCUCCAGGCCUCCAGAAGUGUAUAAUGAUACAUGCAUACUGCUUCAAGGCACAUACAUGUUACAGCAGCCAUGGGAGUUGAUACAGUCUGUGACAGCAGCUGCACUGGUAUGGAACACCUCGAAUCAGUGAGGGUCCAAUCUUACUCUUGCCAAGGAAGCAUAUGUGGCAGAUCUCAUGAACCCUGUUUUCUGGUGCAGACACACCUAUAUGUGUCCAACACCAACUUAUCACAGAGUUCUUUGUGAAGGACACUCAGGCCUGGAAAGGCUGCUAACAACAUCCGCUAUGGCGGAACUCCAGGACUACAGUCCCUGAGGGGUUCCCUUGACAAUGUCAUCCGUUGCUUUUCAUCAGCCAAGACCACACAUAAACUGCCUCAUUUUUUUUUCCUCACAAAAUCUGAUACCAAAGAGAGAUGUUUUAGCUCAAUUCAUCUUUCUCUUCGGAACACUAGAAACAUCAAGUCAGACGCAGCUCACACUUCUCUUGAUAACUUUCGUCACUUUAGUAGUGAUUGGGGGAUGAUGACAAGCCAUUCUUCUUCCCGACCUCCCCUCAGUGGGGAAUUCAAACAGCUGCCGCUGCUGCUCAUGAAAUCUCACUGGACAUUCAAAACAGGGAAGAACCAGUGGCGGGAGGGCUCAGUUUUGCUUCUGUCCAUGUGCAUUCCAGGCAGAUCUGCAUCAAAGGUGUGAGGAGGAUUGAAACACCUUUAAUCUUGGCUUCAAAAGGCUCCACACACAAUGGUCUUUACAGCAGAGCUCUGCAGAUUUCAGCUCCAGGCCCUACUUGUCUACACAUGUGUGAGGGUGUAAGAGCAGCUAACAGUUUUUUUAGCAAGGUGUAAGUACUGCUUCCCUUGAAAAUGGUUUGAGGAACUGGGUGUGGUGGUGUGCACUUUUAAUACCAGUAUACUCACAAUCCCAGCACUCUGAUGGUCGAGAAAGGAUGAUUGCUGUAGAUCUGAGGCCAGCCUGAGCUAUACAAUGAGUUCAAGGCCAGCUUAGGAUACAAAGUGAGAUCUUAUCUCUAAAAGGCCUAAACAAACAAAUAUACAAAUAAAUUAAUUUUUAAAGUCCAAGUUGGGGUUGGAGAAAUGGCUAAACAGUUGAGACCAUGAGAAAUGGCUGUUCUGCUUUAGGACCUCAGUUUGGUGCCUAGUACCAUGUUAGGCAGUUUACAACCACCUCUAACUAUAGCUUUAGGGGAUUUGAUGGCCUCUUCUAGCCUUCACAGGCACCUACACACAUGUACAUGCACACGCACACACACACUUAAAAAUGAAAUAAAACUUAAAAAAAAGUAAGUACCUGUGUGGUGGUUUGAAUAGGAAUGCCCCUAUAGGCUCAUAUAUUUGGAUGCUUGGUCAUUAGGGAGUGAAAUUCUUGACAGGGAUUAGGGGGUAUGGCCUUGUUGGGGUAGGUGUGGCCUUAAUGGAGGAAGUAUGUCACUGGAGGUGGGCUUUGGGGGUCCUGCAGAUCCAGAUGUAGAACUCUCAGUUCCUUCUCCAGCACCGUGUCUGCCUGCACACUGCCAUGCUCCCUACCAUGAUGAUAAUGGACUGAACCUCUGAACUGUAAGCCAGCCCUGAUUAAAUGUUUUUCUUUACAAGAGUUGCUGUGGUCAAGGUGUCUCUCCACAGCAAUAGAAGACUGACUAAGACAACAUAAUAAUGUUAUAAGGAAAACAAUUAUCACUAAGAAACUACUAGUCUCUCCUAAAAUAAAAGAUCAUCUAUAUUAUGUUCCCUGAUACUCUGAAUCUAGCUGGAAAGGGAAGUUUGCAACUAUCCAAUGUGUGUGUGUGUGUGUGUGUGUGUGUGUACAUAUGUGUUUUCUUGUGUUAAAAUAUAUGUAAUCCUGGCAUUUUGGAAGUGGAAGCAGGAGCAGAGGUUCAAGGACAUUGUUGACUCCCUAGGGAGUUUGAGGCUAGCCCGGGUUUCAUGAAACCCUGUCUCAUCUCAAACAAAUAAAUAAUAUGGAUAUAAAAUGUAUCCUUUUUACCAUUUAUAAGCAUACAAUUCUGUGGCAUUGAAUACAUACACAAUGUCAUGCUACCACUACCCAUUCCCAGGAGGUUUUCAGCCGUCCAACUAGAAAACUCUGUACCCGUUAAACAACAACUCCCCAGGCCCCCUUAGCCCAACUAGUCUACUUCGUGUCUUUGAGAAUUUGACUAUGCUCAUUUUUAUAAGUGGGAUCAUACAUAUAUUUUCUUCUGAUUUGCCUUAUUUCACUCAGCCAAGGUUUGUCCAUAUUGUGGCACGGGUCAGAAUUCUCUUCCUUUUUAAGGCUAGACAAUCUCUCCCUAUACUGUACACACCACAUUUUGUCUACCCACUUAUUUAUUGCUGGGUACCGGGGCUUCCUCCUUUGGGCUAUUGAAUGGUGUUAUGAUGAAUGUUGUUUAUAUACACUUACAUAACACAUACUUGUUUACUGUAGGUUUCACAAACCUCUAAUCUGGAAUUUGUAUAAUAUAGGCAGUAGGUUGAUUUUAGUGUUUGUGUUUAUUUCCUUCUUUUUCUUUGAGACAGGAUCUUACUAUGUUGCUCUGGCUGUCAUGGAACACUGUGUAGACUAGACUGGCCUUGAACUCACUAAGAUCUGCCUGCUUAUGCCUCCUAAGUGCUAGGAUUAAAGGUGUGCACCAUCACACCUGGAAAGAAAUAGCUUUAAAAGUCCUUUGAAAAAUAAAAAAUAAAAAAAAAGAGUCCUUUGAGUUCCUGGUUGGGAUCAUUAUGUCAGAGUCUUUGGAGGUGAGACUCAGGUAUUCGUGUUAGUUGUAAACCUUACCACGUGAUUCAAUUGUGCAGCCGUGUUUGAGAAAUACAGCCCUGAAAAUUAAUGAGCAACCAGCUCAUUGCUGACUGCUGAGUCCUCAGCUAUUGGCACUAUUCUAGAGAGUUCUGAAUACGUUAGGUGGUGGGGGCUAGAUAAAGCGCGUCACUGGGGUGGACCCCCAGGGGAACCUUAUCUAUGCCUCUCCUUUUCUCCCCUCUCCUUCCUUCCCUUCCUGUGUCUCUCCUUCCCUUCCCCUCCCUUUCUGCUUCCUGUCAGCCAAGAAGUAAAGAUGGUCUUCCGUCCGGAGCUCCAGUUGCCAGAAUGUUUUGUCCAAGUGCAUGGAACUAACUGAGCAAGCGUAGACUGAACCCUCUGAAUCUGAUAUCAACGACUCCCAGACCUUCCAAUCCAAUGUAGUCAAAUGGAAUUCACUUCCGUACUUUUAAGACCCUCAAGCCAAAGUAUUAAACAGCUAUAACUAAAGAUCAGA
Peromyscus californicus insignis is the source of this 13979-nucleotide long non-coding RNA. RefSeq lists it as uncharacterized. The record is from RefSeq and is a predicted model, not a curated record. Lineage: Eukaryota; Metazoa; Chordata; Mammalia; Rodentia; Cricetidae. The transcript has 5 exons.